Molecule: ribosomal RNA, 383 nt
Filed under: uncultured marine Chaetocerotaceae
Lineage: Eukaryota; Bacillariophyta; Thalassiosirophyceae; Chaetocerotales; Chaetocerotaceae
Description: SSU rRNA
Rfam family: Eukaryotic small subunit ribosomal RNA
Source: RNAcentral
AGCUCCAAUAGCGUAUAUUAAAGUUGUUGCAGUUAAAAAGCUCGUAGUUGCGUUUCUGUUGGGAGGGAUCGUUCCAUGCCUCUGGCUUGGAUUCGUAUCGUCUCCUGACAUCCUUGGGUGGAGCCAUUCUGGCAUUAAGUUGUCGGGGUGGGGAUGCCCAUCAUUUACUGUGAAAAAAUUAGAGUGUUCAAAGCAGGCUUAUGCCGUUGAAUAUAUUAGCAUGGGAUAAUAAGAUAGGACUUUGGUACUAUUUUGUUGGUUUGCGCACCAGAGUAAUGACGAAUAGGGACAGUUGGGGGUAUUCGUAUUCAGUUGUCAGAGGUGAAAUUCUUAGAUUUACGGAAGACGAACUACUGCGAAAGCAUUUACCAAGGAUGUUUUCA